GAAGAGGGCAAAGCAGUAGUGUUCAGAGGCAGACUGAGUGUGUUGGGUAUAGCUGACAGCUCUGGCCAACGCAAUCCCUAGAACUCUUCCUAGAACCCACCCUGAUGCAUCCUGGAUGGACUCCUGCUUUUAAGGUACUAGCCAGAGUUUUAUCCACAGAGGACCUCUGGAUCCCAAGAGACAACUCCAAUCCAUCCCCAAAUCCUCCAGGCUUGUACCACUGCAUUGACUGAAAAGGGAGGGAGCACAGGUCAUCUGUAGGAGCAAGUGAAAGUAACAAAAUGCAAGUGUUAUUAGCAAACACACUGAAAGCAUUCUACAGCAGAAGGGGACCAAAAAUGCAUGUAAGAGGAGAAAAAAUGCCAUUGCCUCAGAAGAGAAGGAAAAAAAGAGACUUCCAUCUGCAGAGCUGGCGACUGAUCCUGUUUCACAAGAGCCCAAUGAAUCAAGAAAGACCCUGAGAACCUACCCUGGAAGAAACUAGCUGGCAGGGAAGGAACAGGACUACGGCGUUACUUCUUCCCUAUUCCCUUUUGGAAGCUCAAAUACAGCUGUUCCUUACAGGAGCAGGAAAUAUUCAGGAACAGAAUACCAAAAUAAAUAAAUAAAAUAUAGAAGA
Molecule: long non-coding RNA, 619 nt
Organism: Alligator sinensis (Chinese alligator)
Lineage: Eukaryota; Metazoa; Chordata; Crocodylia; Alligatoridae
Exons: 6
Source: RefSeq, a predicted model, not a curated record